CUGGCUCAGGAUGAACGCUAGCUACAGGCUUAACACAUGCAAGUCGAGGGGUAGCAGGGUAGCAAUACCGCUGACGACCGGCGCACGGGUGAGUAACACGUAUCCAACCUUCCCAUAACUCAGGGAUAGCCUUUCGAAAGAAAGAUUAAUACCUGAUAGUACUUUUUCAAGGCAUCUUGAGAAAGUUAAAGAUUUAUUGGUUAUGGAUGGGGAUGCGUUCCAUUAGAUAGUUGGUGAGGUAACGGCUCACCAAGUCUUCGAUGGAUAGGGGUUCUGAGAGGAAGGUCCCCCACAUUGGUACUGAGACACGGACCAAACUCCUACGGGAGGCAGCAGUGAGGAAUAUUGGUCAAUGGGCGAGAGCCUGAACCAGCCAAGUAGCGUGAAGGAAUGAAGGUCCUAUGGAUUGUAAACUUCUUUUGCAGGGGAAUAAAGUGCAGGACGUGUCCUGUUUUGUAUGUACCCUGAGAAUAAGGAUCGGCUAACUCCGUGCCAGCCGCAGC
RNAcentral lists this ribosomal RNA (503 nucleotides) under uncultured bacterium. Its description in RNAcentral is "bacterial SSU rRNA". It matches the Rfam family "Bacterial small subunit ribosomal RNA", at positions 19 to 518 of the family's 1533-position model. The record is from RNAcentral.